Molecule: unclassified non-coding RNA, 22 nt
Filed under: Mus musculus (house mouse)
Lineage: Eukaryota; Metazoa; Chordata; Mammalia; Rodentia; Muridae
Description: oocyte_clustered_small_RNA5364
Source: RNAcentral
UCCACCCACCCUGAAAAGGUAU